This 1330-nucleotide small RNA is filed under the name Rattus norvegicus (Norway rat). RNAcentral describes it as "uncharacterized LOC102548337". The record is from RNAcentral. Lineage: Eukaryota; Metazoa; Chordata; Mammalia; Rodentia; Muridae.
CACUCUGAACCGGAACAGGAAGAGCGGCCGGCCGGUCCCCUGCCCGGAGGUAACCUCUGCGGAGGGCGCUCUCGUAGGGAUCGCUGCAUCAUUUGUUGAGUUGCCUUUGCCUUAAGUAGCGAGCAUUUGGAUGAGACUGGGACUUGAUUCCUUUUUUAAGGCCAGAGAAACCGAGUCUAAAGAGAUUCUUUUCCCCCCCACACUCAUUUUGCACAAAACUUUUUACUUGGAAUUUGUUUUUUGAGAUGGACGUCUCACUAUGCAGCUCUGACUGGCCUGCUCGCCAUGUCGACCAGGCUGUCCUGGAAAUCACAGAUAUCCUUUGUUUGACUCGAGAAUGCUGGGAUUACAGGACUGUAAAAGGCAGUGAAUAUGGAGUUCCCUACUCCCCAGUUGUGAGGAUAAAUGGCCAGGCGGGAGAGAUAACUCAGCACAGACCGAGACCUUAACAUACUGAAGGAUCAAAAUACUGAAGAGACAUUCUCUGGGCCUCAAUGCCAUCGCCUGUAUGUCUAGUGUGUGUCUUUACACUGUCUAAUAAGGUUCCACGAGUCGUAUGUCAGAUUAAAGAGUGGAAAUGCACAGAUGUGCAGCACAGCCAUCCUUUCUCAGGCCACUUCUGUUAAGAACCUCUCGAAAUGCAAGCUGGGUUGGCUGAACUCAUAUUUUAUAUCCUCUCCUAAGCUGUUUGUCAAGGUAAUCAUAUACAUUUUAGAAGCAUGUCUUCCCAGGGCGAGAUGGGAAAAGCAGUAUUGAUCUGCUAGCUGGAUCAUAUGCACAGUCACCUGUAUUUCCGUGCACAGGCCCUGAGGUAGGAAGGUCCUGCUUCUCUCUUCUACUAGCCUUUCGUCUUCAGAGGCACAGCACUGUGACUGCAGGCUAGUGGCUACAAGAUAACUCACCCGAGUACCGAGCAAUAUUAUCACAGUUCUCAACACAGCCGACCUCUUAGCUCUGCUAGUGUUAAACAGAGCAGCACAUGCAUUCUUCUGUCACCUAAGAACUGUGUUGUGGAAGUCAAGGUAGACGAAAGCACAAGUCUCUGACCUUCCCUGUCACCUUCCCGAAAGAUUGCUUUCGGCUCCUUCCUUCCCCAAAGCAUCUGAUCAUCUUAGGGGUCAGGCUUCUUUAUACAUAAACUAACCUAAUUUCAGGGAAGAGAUAUUUUGAGUCAUUUAGACUAUUGGACUCUAAACUAUACCUGCUGACCCCAUUCUCCCUAGGCUGGCUCAGGACUUGGUAACAACAGAAGACAAGAGAGGAGCUGGCAUGGUAGCAAACCUUUACUUAGCUCCAGCACUUUGACCUAGGGGGCAGAGGCAGACAGACC